Molecule: ribosomal RNA, 645 nt
Filed under: uncultured Actinomycetes bacterium
Lineage: Bacteria; Bacillati; Actinomycetota; Actinomycetes
Description: bacterial SSU rRNA
Rfam family: Bacterial small subunit ribosomal RNA
Source: RNAcentral
CUUGUUGGUGAGGUAAUGGCUCACCAAGGCGUCGACGGGUAGCCGGCCUGAGAGGGUGACCGGCCACACUGGGACUGAGACACGGCCCAGACUCCUACGGGAGGCAGCAGUGGGGAAUAUUGCACAAUGGGCGAAAGCCUGAUGCAGCAACGCCGCGUGAGGGACGACGGCCUUCGGGUUGUAAACCUCUUUUAGCAAGGAAGAAGCGAAAGUGACGGUACUUGCAGAAAAAGCGCCGGCUAACUACGUGCCAGCAGCCGCGGUAAUACGUAGGGCGCAAGCGUUAUCCGGAAUUAUUGGGCGUAAAGAGCUCGUAGGCGGUUUGUCGCGUCUGCUGUGAAAACCCGAGGCUCAACCUCGGGCCUGCAGUGGGUACGGGCAGACUAGAGUGCGGUAGGGGAGAUUGGAACUCCUGGUGUAGCGGUGGAAUGCGCAGAUAUCAGGAAGAACACCGAUGGCGAAGGCAGAUCUCUGGGCCGUAACUGACGCUGAGGAGCGAAAGGGUGGGGAGCAAACAGGCUUAGAUACCCUGGUAGUCCACCCCGUAAACGUUGGGAACUAGUUGUGGGGUCCAUUCCACGGAUUCCGUGACGCAGCUAACGCAUUAAGUUCCCCGCCUGGGGAGUACGGAAUCUCUAGAGGAUC